This 253-nucleotide ribosomal RNA is filed under the name uncultured bacterium. Its description in RNAcentral is "partial 16S ribosomal RNA". It matches the Rfam family "Bacterial small subunit ribosomal RNA", at positions 524 to 776 of the family's 1533-position model. The record is from RNAcentral.
GACGAACCGUGCGAACGUUGUUCGGAAUCACUGGGCAUAAAGGGCGCGUAGGCGGCUUAUCAAGUCAGGGGUGAAAUCCUGGAGCUCAACUCCAGAACUGCCUUCGAUACUGGAAAGCUCGAGUCCGGGAGAGGUGAGUGGAACUGCGAGUGUAGAGGUGAAAUUCGUAGAUAUUCGCAAGAACACCAGUGGCGAAGGCGGCUCACUGGCCCGGUACUGACGCUGAGGUGCGAAAGCGUGGGGAGCAAACAGG